Molecule: ribosomal RNA, 253 nt
Filed under: uncultured bacterium
Lineage: Bacteria
Description: partial 16S ribosomal RNA
Rfam family: Bacterial small subunit ribosomal RNA
Source: RNAcentral
UACGUAGGGGGCAAGCGUUGUCCGGAUUUAUUGGGCGUAGAGAGCGUGUAGGCGGUCUGGUAGGUCCGCUGUGAAAACUCGAGGCUCAACCUCGAGACGCCGGUGGAAACCAUCAGACUAGAGUCCGGAAGAGGAGAGCGGAAUUCCUGGUGUAGCGGUGAAAUGCGCAGAUAUCAGGAAGAACACCCGUGGCUAAGGCGGCUCUCUAGUACGGUACUGACGCUGAGACGCGAAAGCGUGGGGAGCGAACAGG